CGGUGGCUGCACGGUUCGACACAACCAAACUUAUCCCUGGGGCUAUAACCAUUCUCCGGGAGCUGCCUCUGUCGUGGCCGUGGCCACGGUACGCGGUGCCCACCUGCACUUGCAGGCCGCAGAGGAUUAAAAGGAGUGACGGCCGAGGUGGCUUCCGU
This 158-nucleotide non-coding RNA is filed under the name Rhodospirillaceae bacterium. RNAcentral's name for it is "6S RNA". It matches the Rfam family "6S / SsrS RNA". Rfam says of the family: E. coli 6S RNA was the first non coding RNA to be sequenced, but its function was unknown until recently. Lineage: Bacteria; Pseudomonadati; Pseudomonadota; Alphaproteobacteria; Rhodospirillales; Rhodospirillaceae. The record is from RNAcentral.